GAUUCAAAUUCUCCAAUAAGAUUCUGCCAGUCCUCUGGCAGUUUUGAGGAGUUGUAGCAGUAGUGUGACCCCCAGAACAGUAUUAACUGCAUCAGGACAGCCCCAACUGCCCCUUCUUGCAAGACAAAUUGCCUCUCCAGCCCUCAAUUGUGUCACGAUUUAGCCUGAGACCCAAGUCACUCCAAAAGGGUCUAAUAAUAGGUAUCGAAGGAGAAAACAUCCGGUUCUAUAGCUGGGAAUAGGAAUGACCUACCUUAACCAAGUCCUAUGGAAAACAGGGUGAUCAAAAGUCAUGUUUUCACAUUUAUUGGGAGCCAACUUUGGCUUCUAGCAGUAGUGUAACCCCCAGAACAGUAUUAACUGCAUCAGGACAGCCCCAACUUUGGCUUCUUGCAUUUAUUUGAGGAGUUGUAGCAGUAGUGUAACCCCCAGAACAGUAUUAACUGCAUCAGGACAGCCCCAACUGCCCCUUCUUGCAAGACAAAUUGCCUCUCCAGCCCUCAAUUGUGUCACCAUUUAGCUCGAGACCCAAGUCACUCCAAAAGGGUCUAAUAAUAGGUAUCGAAGGAGAAAACAUCUAAUUCUAUAGCUGGGAAUAGGAAUGAC
This 606-nucleotide long non-coding RNA is filed under the name Vitis vinifera (wine grape). RNAcentral's name for it is "long non-coding RNA (VVIN_LNC007588)". The record is from RNAcentral. Lineage: Eukaryota; Viridiplantae; Streptophyta; Magnoliopsida; Vitales; Vitaceae.